Molecule: ribosomal RNA, 301 nt
Filed under: uncultured Piloderma
Lineage: Eukaryota; Fungi; Basidiomycota; Agaricomycetes; Atheliales; Atheliaceae
Description: eukaryotic LSU rRNA
Rfam family: Eukaryotic large subunit ribosomal RNA (bases 245-301)
Source: RNAcentral
AACGCACCUUGCGCUCCUUGGUAUUCCGAGGAGCAUGCCUGUUUGAGUGUCAUUAAAUUCUCAACUCUGAUCGAUUUGUUUCGACUUCGGAGCUUGGAUUUGGAGCGUGCUGGCGUCGGUCGGCUCCUCUUAAAUGCAUCAGCGGAAUCUAACGUUUCGGAUGUCAGUGUGAUAAUCAUGUUGCGCUGUCUGUCUGAUCCGAAAGCCCGCUCACAAUGGUCUUCGGACAACUUCAUAUCAAAUUUGACCUCAAAUCAGGUAGGACUACCCGCUGAACUUAAGCAUAUCAAUAAGCGGAGGA